Molecule: ribosomal RNA, 468 nt
Filed under: uncultured bacterium
Lineage: Bacteria
Description: partial 16S ribosomal RNA
Rfam family: Bacterial small subunit ribosomal RNA
Source: RNAcentral
GACGAACGCUGGCGGCGUGCUUAACACAUGCAAGUCGAACGGAAAGGCCCUGCUUUUGUGGGGGGCUCGAGUGGCGAACGGGUGGGUAACACGUGAGUAACCUGCCCUUGACUUUGGGAAAACUUCAGGAAACUGGGGCUAAUACCGGAUAGGAGCUCCUGCUGCAUGGUGGGGGUUGGAAAGUUUCGGCGGUUGGGGAUGGACUCGCGGCUUAUCAGCUUGUUGGUGGGGUAGUGGCUUACCAAGGCGUUGACGGGUAGCCGGCCUGAGAGGGUGACCGGCCACAUUGGGACUGAGAUACGGCCCAGACUCCUACGGGAGGCAGCAGUGGGGAAUAUUGCACAAUGGGCGGAAGCCUGAUGCAGCAACGCCGCGUGCGGGAUGACGGCCUUCGGGUUGUAAACCGCUUUCGCCUGUGACGAAGCGUGAGUGACGGUAAUGGGUAAAGAAGCACCGGCUAACUACGUG